This is a long non-coding RNA of Neofelis nebulosa (Clouded leopard), 805 nucleotides long. RefSeq lists it as uncharacterized. The transcript is spliced from 2 exons. Lineage: Eukaryota; Metazoa; Chordata; Mammalia; Carnivora; Felidae. The record is from RefSeq and is a predicted model, not a curated record.
GCCUGGGAAAAACAAAACAAAACAAAACAAAACAAAAGAUGGUUUGGGCCCUUCUUGCUGAAUAAGUCCAGACCACCCUGGGCCAACAUUUAACUGGGCUCUGGGCUACCCCCGACCCCACCCGGACUCCCAGAAUCCUCACACCCAUCCCUCAGCCAUUGUGGUUCUGGGCAGAGCCAGGUGGUGGCGCCAGCGCCUUAGGCUUCAGUCUGGCUUUGGGAGCUAGAGACCCCGGAAGAAUUGUCCCCCUCCCCUGCGCCUUCUUCCCCGCUGGGAGCCUCUGCUCCAAGGCCUGUCCGCUGGCAAAGGCUUUGCAGGAUGGCCUUCAUCAGGGAGAGGGGCGCUGAGGCUGGCACACCCAAGAUGAGGAAACUGAGGCAUGGCCAGUGUAAGUUGCUUGCCCGAGCCCAAGCAGAAUUGGCGUUUGAAACUGGUCUGCCUGCCGCUAUCCGGCCAGUCCUGGCGGUUCUGGAAUGGCUGUUGCUGUUGCUAUUUAAGUUUCUCCCUGAGCUCCUUGCCCGCCACACUCCCCCCGACCCCACCAGGAAAGGUAUCUGGGUAUCGGUAGCACCAUCUGUGAAAUGGGAUCACUGACGGGCGGAGUCACCACCAGCUCCCGGAGCCAUGCCAGGCUCUGUGCUCAAUACCUUCCAAGUAUUUAUUAGUAGUAGAUCAUUCCUCUGGGUGGCUGCGGGUCAGCCUGGGCUAGAAUCCUGGCUUUGCUGUUCUUGGCAUCCUGGCUUUGGGCAAGUGACUUUACAUCUCAGUGUCACGGUCCAAAACUGGAAAAUGGACGUGAGAACAA